RNAcentral lists this ribosomal RNA (2354 nucleotides) under Staphylococcus aureus M0998. Its description in RNAcentral is "bacterial LSU rRNA". It matches the Rfam family "Bacterial large subunit ribosomal RNA", at positions 3 to 2355 of the family's 2925-position model. The record is from RNAcentral. Lineage: Bacteria; Bacillati; Bacillota; Bacilli; Caryophanales; Staphylococcaceae. RNAcentral also lists the same sequence under 1 other name.
UUAAGUUAUUAAGGGCGCACGGUGGAUGCCUUGGCACUAGAAGCCGAUGAAGGACGUUACUAACGACGAUAUGCUUUGGGGAGCUGUAAGUAAGCUUUGAUCCAGAGAUUUCCGAAUGGGGAAACCCAGCAUGAGUUAUGUCAUGUUAUCGAUAUGUGAAUACAUAGCAUAUCAGAAGGCACACCCGGAGAACUGAAACAUCUUAGUACCCGGAGGAAGAGAAAGAAAAUUCGAUUCCCUUAGUAGCGGCGAGCGAAACGGGAAGAGCCCAAACCAACAAGCUUGCUUGUUGGGGUUGUAGGACACUCUGUACGGAGUUACAAAGGACGACAUUAGACGAAUCAUCUGGAAAGAUGAAUCAAAGAAGGUAAUAAUCCUGUAGUCGAAAAUGUUGUCUCUCUUGAGUGGAUCCUGAGUACGACGGAGCACGUGAAAUUCCGUCGGAAUCUGGGAGGACCAUCUCCUAAGGCUAAAUACUCUCUAGUGACCGAUAGUGAACCAGUACCGUGAGGGAAAGGUGAAAAGCACCCCGGAAGGGGAGUGAAAUAGAACCUGAAACCGUGUGCUUACAAGUAGUCAGAGCCCGUUAAUGGGUGAUGGCGUGCCUUUUGUAGAAUGAACCGGCGAGUUACGAUUUGAUGCAAGGUUAAGCAGUAAAUGUGGAGCCGUAGCGAAAGCGAGUCUGAAUAGGGCGUUUAGUAUUUGGUCGUAGACCCGAAACCAGGUGAUCUACCCUUGGUCAGGUUGAAGUUCAGGUAACACUGAAUGGAGGACCGAACCGACUUACGUUGAAAAGUGAGCGGAUGAACUGAGGGUAGCGGAGAAAUUCCAAUCGAACCUGGAGAUAGCUGGUUCUCUCCGAAAUAGCUUUAGGGCUAGCCUCAAGUGAUGAUUAUUGGAGGUAGAGCACUGUUUGGACGAGGGGCCCCUCUCGGGUUACCGAAUUCAGACAAACUCCGAAUGCCAAUUAAUUUAACUUGGGAGUCAGAACAUGGGUGAUAAGGUCCGUGUUCGAAAGGGAAACAGCCCAGACCACCAGCUAAGGUCCCAAAAUAUAUGUUAAGUGGAAAAGGAUGUGGCGUUGCCCAGACAACUAGGAUGUUGGCUUAGAAGCAGCCAUCAUUUAAAGAGUGCGUAAUAGCUCACUAGUCGAGUGACACUGCGCCGAAAAUGUACCGGGGCUAAACAUAUUACCGAAGCUGUGGAUUGUCCUUUGGACAAUGGUAGGAGAGCGUUCUAAGGGCGUUGAAGCAUGAUCGUAAGGACAUGUGGAGCGCUUAGAAGUGAGAAUGCCGGUGUGAGUAGCGAAAGACGGGUGAGAAUCCCGUCCACCGAUUGACUAAGGUUUCCAGAGGAAGGCUCGUCCGCUCUGGGUUAGUCGGGUCCUAAGCUGAGGCCGACAGGCGUAGGCGAUGGAUAACAGGUUGAUAUUCCUGUACCACCUAUAAUCGUUUUAAUCGAUGGGGGGACGCAGUAGGAUAGGCGAAGCGUGCGAUUGGAUUGCACGUCUAAGCAGUAAGGCUGAGUAUUAGGCAAAUCCGGUACUCGUUAAGGCUGAGCUGUGAUGGGGAGAAGACAUUGAGUCUUCGAGUCGUUGAUUUCACACUGCCGAGAAAAGCCUCUAGAUAGAAAAUAGGUGCCCGUACCGCAAACCGACACAGGUAGUCAAGAUGAGAAUUCUAAGGUGAGCGAGCGAACUCUCGUUAAGGAACUCGGCAAAAUGACCCCGUAACUUCGGGAGAAGGGGUGCUCUUUAGGGUUAACGCCCAGAAGAGCCGCAGUGAAUAGGCCCAAGCGACUGUUUAUCAAAAACACAGGUCUCUGCUAAACCGUAAGGUGAUGUAUAGGGGCUGACGCCUGCCCGGUGCUGGAAGGUUAAGAGGAGUGGUUAGCUUCUGCGAAGCUACGAAUCGAAGCCCCAGUAAACGGCGGCCGUAACUAUAACGGUCCUAAGGUAGCGAAAUUCCUUGUCGGGUAAGUUCCGACCCGCACGAAAGGCGUAACGAUUUGGGCACUGUCUCAACGAGAGACUCGGUGAAAUCAUAGUACCUGUGAAGAUGCAGGUUACCCGCGACAGGACGGAAAGACCCCGUGGAGCUUUACUGUAGCCUGAUAUUGAAAUUCGGCACAGCUUGUACAGGAUAGGUAGGAGCCUUUGAAACGUGAGCGCUAGCUUACGUGGAGGCGCUGGUGGGAUACUACCCUAGCUGUGUUGGCUUUCUAACCCGCACCACUUAUCGUGGUGGGAGACAGUGUCAAGCGGGCAGUUUGACUGGGGCGGUCGCCUCCUAAAAGGUAACGGAGGCGCUCAAAGGUUCCCUCAGAAUGGUUGGAAAUCAUUCAUAGAGUGUAAA